GAGAGAAAUUUUUCAGGCUCGUUCCACGGCGUCAUCGUCACAUCGUUCACAAACAAAUUUGUUCCUGAAUCWAGUGGAACUUGCCGUUCCGCUCCAAAUUUUCUCACCUUUGAUUUGUCGUUAGCCCAACUAUGAGGGCUAAGUGGCGUAAGAAGCGUAUGCGUAGGUUGAAGCGCAAGAGGAGGAAGAUGCGUGCAAGGUCCAAAUAAACCUCGUGGCCUGCUCCAGACAUAUUGUCAUGUUUUGGUAAACAUUUAACGAUAUUGUAACUUUUAUAUUGAAUCAUCUAAACAGUAAUAAACACUCUAUUUACCGUAUCAA
Diuraphis noxia (Russian wheat aphid) is the source of this 321-nucleotide long non-coding RNA. RefSeq lists it as uncharacterized. The record is from RefSeq and is a predicted model, not a curated record. NCBI's taxonomy places the organism in Eukaryota, Metazoa, Arthropoda, Insecta, Hemiptera, Aphididae.